Paramuricea clavata is the source of this 281-nucleotide non-coding RNA. The record is from the annotation of a GenBank genome assembly. Lineage: Eukaryota; Metazoa; Cnidaria; Anthozoa; Malacalcyonacea; Plexauridae.
CCCCAUUCCACUCAUCAACUCGGGAACGGCUAAUACUAGAUUCCCCUUAUUACGUUUUCGUAGCGCUUUGCAUUGUGGUUAUAGUGGUAUCACUGAUAAAGAUAGCGGCCUCGAAUGAAAAUAUUGAAUGUUUUCGCGAAUAUUUUGCAGUUGGCUAUCGCGCACCUGACCCUAGCUUUUUUUAAAAGGUUCUUGCACUGGUCAGGACAAAAAAUAAGCCAUCUUGAAUAUCAGUGAUACCACUAUAACCACAAUGCAAAGCGCUACGAAAACGUAAUAAG